CGUGCAAAGGUAGCAUAAUAAUUUGCCUUUUAAUUUAAGGCUAGAAUAAACGGAUAAACGAAAUUUUCCCUGCUUCAUCUUUACAAUUAAAACUUAAACCUUAAGUGAAGAUACUUAAAUACAAUUAAAAGACAAAAAGACCCUAUAGAGUUUUAAUUUUAAACUCCUCAUAAAAAAAUAAAUUUUAGUUGGGGUGACUCAGGAUUAUAAAAAACAUCCUAUAACAUUUGAAUAUAAUUCUCUUUACACACUCCUACAUGAGAAUAAAUAAUAAAUUACCUUAGGGAUAACAGGCUUAUCCUUUUAACAAGUUCACAUUUACAAAAGGGUUUGGCACCUCGAUGUU
RNAcentral lists this ribosomal RNA (346 nucleotides) under Macellicephala sp. B_MB. RNAcentral's name for it is "partial 16S ribosomal RNA". It matches the Rfam family "Bacterial large subunit ribosomal RNA", at positions 1947 to 2533 of the family's 2925-position model. Lineage: Eukaryota; Metazoa; Annelida; Polychaeta; Phyllodocida; Polynoidae. The record is from RNAcentral.